AAGACCUUGCGCUUUUGGAGCGGCCGAUGUCUGAUUAGCUAGUUGGUAGGGUAAUGGCCUACCAAAGCUUCGAUCAGUAGCUGGUCUGAGAGGACGACCAGCCACACUGGGACUGAGACACGGCCCAGACUCCUACGGGAGGCAGCAGUGGGGAAUUUUGGACAAUGGGCGCAAGCCUGAUCCAGCCAUGCCGCGUGAGUGAAGAAGGCCUUCGGGUUGUAAAGCUCUUUCAGCCGGGAAGAAAAGGCUGCGACUAAUAAUCGCAGUUCAUGACGGUACCGGAAGAAGAAGCACCGGCUAACUACAUGCCAGCAGCCGCGGUAAUACGUAGGGUGCGAGCGUUAAUCGGAAUUACUGGGCGUAAAGGGUGCGCAGGCGGUUUUGUAAGUCAGAUGUGAAAUCCCCGGGCUUAACCUGGGAACU
RNAcentral lists this ribosomal RNA (423 nucleotides) under uncultured bacterium. RNAcentral's name for it is "bacterial SSU rRNA". It matches the Rfam family "Bacterial small subunit ribosomal RNA", at positions 207 to 622 of the family's 1533-position model. The record is from RNAcentral.